Molecule: long non-coding RNA, 278 nt
Filed under: Rosa chinensis
Lineage: Eukaryota; Viridiplantae; Streptophyta; Magnoliopsida; Rosales; Rosaceae
Description: sRNA RchiOBHm_Chr1g0335291
Rfam family: Bacterial large subunit ribosomal RNA
Source: RNAcentral
AUGAUCUUUCUAGAGAGAAGGGGUGCCUCCUCACAAAGGGGGUCGCAUUGACCAGGCCCAGGUGACUGUUUACCAAAAACACAGGUCUCCGCAAAGUCGUAAGACCAUGUAUGGGGGCUGACACCUGUCCAGUGCUAGAAGGUCAAGGAAGUUGGUGACAUGAUGACGAGGGAGCUGAUGACCGAAGCCCCGGUGAAUGGUGGCCGUAAUUAUAACGGUCCUAAGGUAGCGAAAUUCCUUGUCCAGAUCCCGUAGAAAAUGCUUCUUUUAUGCCAUAG